UUCUGACGUGCAAAUCGAUAAUCUGAUCUGGGUAUAGGGGCGAAAGACUAACCGAACCAUCUAGUAGCUGGUUCCUUCCGAAGUUUCCCUCAGGAUAGCAAGCGUACGUUUUUAGUUUCAUCCCGUAAAGCGAAUGAUUAGAGGCCUUGGGGCGUAUAUAGCCUCAACCUAUUCUCAAACUUUUAAUGGGUGUGAGUGUUCUUUCUCAAUUGAAGAACGCUGCUAAAUAAGUAUGCUUAGUGGGCCAUUUUUGGUAAGCAGAACUGGCGCUGUGGGUUGAACCAAUUGUUGAGUUAAAGUGCCUAAAGCUGGAAUGCGCAUGAGAUCUAUAAAGGGUGUUAGUUGCUGAAGACAGCAGGACGGUGGCCAUGGAAGUCGGAAUCCGCUAAGGAGUGUGUAACAACUCACCUGCC
This 413-nucleotide ribosomal RNA is filed under the name Ornithonyssus bacoti. RNAcentral describes it as "partial 28S ribosomal RNA". It matches the Rfam family "Eukaryotic large subunit ribosomal RNA", at positions 884 to 1298 of the family's 3401-position model. The record is from RNAcentral. Lineage: Eukaryota; Metazoa; Arthropoda; Arachnida; Mesostigmata; Macronyssidae.